AACGAACGCUGGCGGCAUGCCUAACACAUGCAAGUCGAACGAGAUCUUCGGGUCUAGUGGCGCACGGGUGCGUAACGCGUGGGAAUCUGCCCUUUGGUUCGGAAUAACAGUUGGAAACGACUGCUAAUACCGGAUGAUGACGAAAGUCCAAAGAUUUAUCGCCCAAGGAUGAGCCCGCGUAGGAUUAGCUAGUUGGUGGGGUAAAGGCCUACCAAGGCGACGAUCCUUAGCUGGUCUGAGAGGAUGAUCAGCCACACUGGGACUGAGACACGGCCCAGACUCCUACGGGAGGCAGCAGUAGGGAAUAUUGGACAAUGGGCGAAAGCCUGAUCCAGCAAUGCCGCGUGAGCGAUGAAGGCCUUAGGGUUGUAAAGCUCUUUUACCCGGGAUGAUAAUGACAGUACCGGGAGAAUAAGCCCCGGCUAACUCCGUGCCAGCCGCCGCGGUAA
This 449-nucleotide ribosomal RNA is filed under the name uncultured bacterium. RNAcentral's name for it is "partial 16S ribosomal RNA". It matches the Rfam family "Bacterial small subunit ribosomal RNA", at positions 29 to 523 of the family's 1533-position model. The record is from RNAcentral.